This 3038-nucleotide long non-coding RNA is filed under the name Sus scrofa (pig). RNAcentral describes it as "lncRNA (ENSSSCG00000063047.1, ENSSSCG00105011414.1)". The record is from RNAcentral. Lineage: Eukaryota; Metazoa; Chordata; Mammalia; Artiodactyla; Suidae.
UUUUUUCUUUUUUUUUAAAGCUGAGUUUCCAUAAUUUCUAAGUAUAAAAUUCCAUCCAAUACUAAAAAGAAAUGAAGUAAUUGUUUUUAAAUUGCGUCAUUCAAAGGAGAUGGCGUUAAGUAUACAAGAUCAGUUCACAAUGUUCCCCAUGGAAGUUUCCUCCAGUUCCUAAAUCUUAUUAUAAUUCCAAAAUAUUUCAGUCAAACUGACUCUCACUUUUCGGGGGAGAGAUAAGGUAAUUGAGAAAAUGAAUUUUAAAGCUGAGAAAAUAGGAAAACUUUUAUGCCAUUGUAUAGAGAAAUACAGCAGUAAUGUUCACAGAAGUCACUUUUUAAUUCAAUUUUUCAUUCUUGUGUGAGUCUAAGAGAAAGAUAUGGGAAAGUAGUAUGAGUAUAUUAAAUUUUUCCUCUCAUGUCACAUUUAAGCAACAGUCACAUUUUUUUCAUGGAUCAUUCAAAGACAAUAGAACUUUGUACAUGAAAACUAUAAUACUGGGGGAAAAAUGACCUUGAAGAAGUCAUGUACUUGUUUUCUUGUUCUAUUAGUUGUGUAACAUAAAGAUGUGACCUUUACAAUCAAAAUUUUUAAUUAUCUAGAAAAUUCUUCUCACAAAUUUAAUGCUUUUAAAAUUUACCAGUGUCAAAAAAAAAAAAAAAAUUACCAGUGUCCUUUAUUCGCUCACUUUCUCUUAUCAUCUCUGUUACUUUGUAAAUCUACCCAUUAAGUUUGAAACUUAAUCUAUCUUACUACAAAUUAAAUAAUAUUUUUUUCUGAAUAUUUUUCAUGUUUCUGCUGGGAUCAGAAAACUAUUGUUCUGUUUGCCAUGGGCUGGAGAAGGGGGCUUUAUAAUUUUCAUCAGAAGUAAGCGCUUUCAUUGUUUACAACUGCUUGAGGAAAAAAUAUCAUGAUUCUUUUAAUUUUCCUUACCUAACUAUAAAAAUAUAAUGCUUUAUAAAGUCAUUAUAAUUUUAAUUUAAUGUAAUAUGUUAUCAUAAUAUAAUGUGAUCAUUUCCCUGGACUAUUUAAAAGACUUUUAAUGCCAGUUACAGAGAUGAUAAUCAUUAAGCUUAAAUGCUAUAACCAAACCAUUGAUAUUCAAUGAAAUAGUGAAAGAUGCCAAUGAUGAUACUGAUAUUUGUGACCUAUUUGCUGGUUUGCAUAUUGAACCCUUCAGCAGUCGUUAUUCAAAAAGCACUUUAAAAUGAUCUCAAGGUGUAAAACUUAUAAAUACUAAUGUACACAAUCACUUCAACAAAUAAUUUUUAGUUGUGAUUUACCUUAAGUAAAAAUGUAAAUAGGAGUUAAAUACCAAAGAAACAAUUUAAUAGUGCAUCUACCAAUGUAAUAUCAAAAAUGUUCACCACCUUUAUUGCAUCAGUUCUAGAAGAAAGAUCUUGCUCUUCGUUUGAUCCCAUAAAUCUGGCAAUUGGUAGUAUGCUUAUUUUAAUUAUUUUAUGUCAUAUCAAAAAGAGACAUAAAAACCACAAAUGCUAAAAUAGGGAGAUCUUGUUAUGUAAACUUUUCUGAAUGACUGAAUUUUUUUAUUUGAUAAUUAUUCUUAAAAAACACACAGAAUAGCAUAAGUCCUAUAUCUUAAAAUUUCAAAAUAUUUGGUAUUAAAAAAAAUGUGUCACUGAACAGUAACACACAAGGAAUGCUUCCUUGUCAGGCAAGGAGAUAUUUGUAUUCUCUGUGGGGAUGUGAGCUGAGAUAUUCAUCAGGCAGAGCUUAAAUUCUCCAUUUCACUCGUUGACAAAUCUAUUGGGAUGUCUAGUUCUCCCAAGAAUGAUUUGCUAGCGAUACGAAGAGAAAGAUAUGAAGAAAAGAAGAUUGAUAUCAGGAUAUAUUUAGAGAGUGUUAAAAGAGAUGCCUGCGUAACAUGGAGAUAGAAUCUAAAUAAACCUAGUUCAAUCUAAGACAAAUGUUAUCAUUGCUCGAAAUUUACCUAAGCAAAGCAACAUCAGUCAUUUACGCUGGAUGAUAUUUAACAGGCAACUUGGAAAUUAAAUUUAUUUUAUAUUGACUUUUUAAUGUUUAUGCCCUUUUUUUCUAACCAUGUUCCCUACUAGAGCUUAUAUUUCUGAAUAAAAGUAACUUUUAAUUUAAUUUAAUUUAAUUUUUUUGCACAGGGUUGGGUUUUGGCAAUGUAUAGAAAGACUGUCCUUCAUUAGAACUAUAUAUCUCUAAAAAUCAAGAAAAAAAAGAAAAUAAACUUCUUUGUUACUUUUUUUCUCCGAGUACUAAUCAUGCUUUUUCCUUGUGUGGAAAGAAGAAUUGAACACUCUAAAAAAAAUUACCUCUUUAAAAACAGAUUGCAGUUUUCUAUUUAACCCCAACUAUACUAUUUCUAUUUAACAGAAGCAUUCAGAAUAAAAAUACCAGCUUAUUUGAGAAUGCCCAGGGAAAUAAGGCAGAGGAAGGAGGGCCAGAGGGGAUGUCAAAAUAUUUUAAAAAUUAUAUCCCAUAUGUAGAAAGUUGAGCUUAUUUUCUAAUAUGCUUACCCCCUAUAAUUCAUAAAAGCAAAACAAGAAAAGUAAAUAUUUAAAGUCUAUUACUUUAUCUUUGUACAACAAUUAACAUUAGUGAAUGCCAAAAGACAUCAAUCCCUCCUUGAACAUUAGUAGAAAUAAAAGAUUAGAGAAUUUUUUAUACAGAGGAAGAACAAGACAAUGUUUGAAGUCUAAAAACUUCUCUUUGGUAAAUAUUUGGAACUUAGGGAAUGAGAAAUGAAGACAGAAAAAUUAGACUAUGGGCAUAGUCCAGAAAAAAUAUACAUGUAUAUGAUUUAAGUGAACUCAGUGGAAAAAGGGGAAGAUAUGCGUCAGACAUAUUUAGAGGCAUAACAUACAAAAUUAAAUAAAUUAAUAUAGGAGGGUAUAAGCUGGAAGAUUUUGCCACUAUUCUAUAGAUUUAUGUUUUCUAUAAAUAAGCAAUGGAAAGUUUAUUAAUAAUGAACUGGGAUUUCCUGUGUGGCUCAGUGGGUUAAGGAUCCAGAGUUGUCACUGCUCUGGUGUGGGUUUGAUCUCUGGACCAGGAAC